GUUUCCUUUGCUGAGCAAAAGCUUGUCAGUUUUAUUAGGUCCUAUUGGUUUAUUAUGCUUUUAUUUCUGUUGCUUUGGGAGACCUAGCUGAGAAAACAUUUUGUAACAUUAAUGUCAGAGAAUGUUUUGCUUAUGUUCUCUUCUAGUUUGAUAGUGUCUUGUCUUAUGUUUAAGUCUUUAAGCCAUUUUCAGUUUAUUUUUCUGCAUGGUGUUGGGUAUGUUCCGGUUUCUUUGAUUUACACGUGGCUGUUCAGUUUUCUCAGCACCACUUGCUGAAAAGACUCUAUUUUUUCCCCAUUUUAUGUUCUUGCCUCAUUUGUCAAAGAUUAAUUGACCGUAGCUGUCUGGGUUUAUUUCUGGGGUCUCUAUUCUGUUUCAUUGGUCUGUCUGUCAGUUUUGGUACCAGUACCACACUGUCUUGAUGACUGUGGCUUUGUAACAUUGCCUGAAGUCUAGGAGAGUUAUGCCUCCUGCUCGUUUUUUGUUUUUGUUUUUUUGUUUUUUGUCUUUUUCCCAUUUCUUAGGUCGCUCCCGCGGCAUAUGGAGGUUCCCAGGCUAGGGUCCAAUCAGAGCUGUAGCUGCCAGCCUAUGCCAGAGCCACAGCAACUCGGGAUCCGAGCCACAUCUGCGACCUACACCACAGCUCACAGCAAUGCCAGAUUGUUAAUCCACUGAGCAAGUCCAGGGAUCGAACCCACAACCUCAUGGUUCCUAGUUGGAUUUGUGAACCACUGCACCAUGACAGGAACUCCAUCCUGCUCGGUUUUUGUUCCUCAGGAUUGCUUUGGCAAUUAUGGGUCUUUUAUGGUUCCAUACAAAUUUUUGGAUUGUUUGUUGUAGUUCUCUGAAAUAUGUCAUCAGUAAGGUGAGUCUCUUGUAGACAGCAGAUUGAAAUUUUUGCUUUUUUAUCCAAUCUGUCACUCUGUCUUUUGAUUGGAGCAUUCAGUCCAUUGACAUUUAAGGUAAUUAUUGAUAGAAAUGUAUGUAUUGCCAUUUUAAACUUUGUUUUCCAGUUGAUUCUGUUUCUGCUUUGUUCCUCUCUUUUUUUGGUUGGAUGAUUUCCAUUUAUUUUAUGCUUUCUUUCUUUUCUUUUUGGUUUUUGUGAAUGUAAUGUUUGGUUUUGAUUUGUGGUUGCCCUGAUUUUUAAGUAUGUUAACCCCCUCCUGAAUCUGCUUGCUUUAGCCUGAUAGUCAUAUAGGCUUAAACACAAUAUUAAAAUAAAUCAAAGGAAUCUAUAUUUUCUUACUUUCCUUCCCCACAUUCUAUGAUUUUGAAGUGUUUUUUGUUUGUUUGUUUGUUUUGUCUUUUUGCUCUUUCUUUGGGCCACUCCUGCGGCAUAUGUAGGUUCCCAGGCUAGGGGUCGAAUUGGAGCUGUAGCCACUGGCCUAUGCCAGAGCCACAGCAAUGCGGGAUCUGAGCCGCGUCUGCAACCUACACCACAGCUCACGGCAACGCUGGAUCGUUAACCCACUGAGCAAGGGCAGGGACCAAACCCGCAACCUCAUGGUUCCUAGUCAGAUUCAUUAAUCACUGUGCCACGAUGGGAACUCCUGAAGUGUUUGUUUUUUUUUUUUUAACAUCUUCCUUUUUGUCUUUUUGUUUUUUUUUUUUUUUUUCCUAUUUUUAAAUCUUUUUUCUGGCUUAUUUAAGUGAUUGCUUUCCAAUUGUAGUUUCUUCUAUACUAUUUCUCCUUACUUCUUUUUUUAGAGAAGCCCUUUCAGUAUUUCUUUUAGAAUGGGUUUAGUACUGCUGUACUCUUUCUGGUUUUGUUUGUUGGAGAAAUUCUUUAUUUCCCAUUCUAUUUUAAAUUAUAUUCUUGCUGGAUAGAGUAUUCUAGGUUGCAGAUUUUUUACUUUCAGAACUUUAAAUAUAUCUCGCCACUCCUUUCUGGCCUGUAGUGUUUCUGAAGAGAAAUCAGCUUAUAGCCUUAUGGGAGUUCCCUUAUAAUUAACAUUUUGCUUUUCUCUUGCUGCCUUUGAAUCCUCCCUUUAACUUUUGGCAUUUUUAUUACAAUAUGUCUUGGUGUGGUGCUAUUUGUGUUCCACUUGUUUGGGGCCUUCUGUGCUUCCUGGAUCUUGAUAUCAGUUUCCCUUAGAUUUGGAAAGUUUUCACCCAGAAUUUCUUCAAAUACAUUUUCAAUUCCAUUUUCUUUUUCUUCUUCUUCUGGAAUUCCUCUUAUGCAUAGAUUGGCCCAUUUUAUAUUAUCCCAUAGAACUCAUAUUGCUUUCAUGUUUUUUUUUUUUUUCAUUUGGUUUUCUGUCUGCUGUCCUGAUUGGGUGAUUUCCAUUAUUCUAUCUUCCAAGUCACUAAUUCAUUCCUCUGCAGUAUAAAUUCUGCUGUUUAGUGCCUUAUCUCAGUUUGCAUCUCUGCAAAUGAGUUUUCUAAUUUUUUCUAUGUUCCUCCUUAUAUUUUCUAGUUCCUUUCUAAAGGAAUCUGAAUUACUGUUUAUAUCCACUCUUAUUUCCCUGUUAUUCAGCCUUAGUUAUUCCCAGUUAAUUCCUUCACUACUUUCACUACCUCCCUUUUGAACUCAAUGUCUGUCAGACACCAUAGGUCUCUUUUAUUGUUUGUUGCUUCAGGUGAAGUCUCCUGUUCUUUUAACUGGGUAUGGUUCCUGAAUUUCUUAACCUUGCUUAUGUUUUUUUUUUUUUUUUUCUUUUUCUGUGAGUUUAGGGAGGCCAAACUCUAGUCUAGUCUUGGAGGGCUACUUCUAUGCAAGAGUGCCCAUUUGUAUUUUGUGGGGGGUUGCUAUUUGUUUUUGGCAUGGGAAUUUGAAUAUUUGCUCUCUCUUUCUUUGGUGUGAGCAGGCUGUUAUCCCCAGGUUGCUGAGUAUGUUUCCAGGGAGAAGGAGGCAAUGGGUAGGGCUAGUAGUCAGUGUCUGGUUUUUGGGCUCUUAACAGCAUCAAGGACCUGCAGGAAGAUGGCACAAGCUACUCCUAGUUUCAGGGCCCUUGGAAAUGAUAAUGAGCCUAGAGCAUUCAGCAGUGUCAGCUGCAGGGUGUGUGAGUUCCCAGGGGAAUGAGAGCAAGAACAGGUAGUGUUUGAUUGCAAUGCCGUCCUCUGAGGUGAUUGGAGCUGCAAGUUCUUCCUGUUCAUGGAUUCCCUAGUGGUUGUGGGCCACAUCCACCUCUGGAGUCAGUGAUUACUGUGAUGGCUUUCCCCUACCACCUGUAGAGCAUGCGAGAAGCACCCCAUCUCACUUAGCCCACAUGGGAGGUGCUUCACAGGCUGCUCCUAGUUUUAGGAUCCUGGGAAAUGACAGUGAUCAAGCGUCUGGGCACUGCCUGGAGCAUUUGCCAGUGGCAGCAACAGGGCUGGUGUGCUCCCAGGAGUACAAGAGCAACAACAGCCAGUGUUUGGUCACAAUGCCCUCCUCUGUGGUACACUUGAAGUGAUUGAGACCACAGAUGGUGCCUGUUCAUGGAACCCUAGUAGUGGUAGGCUGCACCCACCUCUGGAGUCAGAUACCUGUGGUGGUUUGUCCCCACCACCUGUAGACCAUGCAAGAAGCACUUUGUCCCACUUAGCCCCCACAGGAGGUGCUGCACCAGUUGCUUCCAGUUGUAGGUUCCUGGGAAGGGACAGUGAUCAAGUAUAUAUAAGCCACACCUCUGCUCUAACCUCUGGACCCACCCCUACCCUCUCUCCAUAAAAGGAACCAACUCAUAACCUACCCUCACCCCCCAUGUAAGGAACAGGACUCUAGGAGACAUUCCCAGGGUAGGCCCUUCCCCUAUAUCCUCUGCUUUAGCUCCUCUCUGAAGAAUAAACUGUAUCUGGUUGGAGGUUUAUAGGAACUUAGUGUUCUGACUUUUGUGGACAGCUACAAGAACAAUGGAUUUCUGCCCCCAAUAAGUUUGCAAUAACCAAUCCCACCCCUCCCUCACCUUGUAUUUAAAAAUGCUUUGCAAUUUUGGCUCAGGAUAUUUCAGGGGCACAAGACACCCACCUCCUUGUAUAGCCUGCAAUAAACCUUCCUCUGUUCCAAACACUUGAUGCAGGCACUUCAUACCCGUGAAAGAAAAGUUAUAUUUCUUCCCCUUCUUUUUGAAAUGAAUACUUCAAAAUUGAACAGCUUAGAGUCUUUCCUUGUCCUUCUCCUGGACUUAGUUACACCCUAAGCACAGUUACCUGUAAACUAAAGAUUAGGUACCCUGAGCAUAAUUGCCUGUGUGUUAAAAAUUAUCAGUACAUGAUGUUUUUCAAGAACUUUCCUAGUUUGUUCUAAUCUCUGAUCAAUAUGCCCUUUUCACAAAUACUGUUAUUGUAGGCAGUACCCCAGAAGACCACCAUUAUGGUCAGGCCAAGAUCUCCUGACUCCAGCUUUGAUGACUAAGAUUCCUCUGAAGAAAGAAUAAUGCAUGUUUGUCCCAAUCCUGAUUCCUAUCUGAAAACCUGUUUUUCUCCUUUUUACUAUAAAACUCCUUGUAAUUCUUUCUAAGGGAGGGGGCACAGUCUUUAAGUCAUUAGCCUGCUGUGGCCCUCCUUUGCCUGGCAAAGCAAUAAAACUAUUUUUUUUUCUCCUUUACCCAAAACUCUGUCUCUGCAUUUCAAUUUGGCACCAGCAGACAGAGGCCAAAUUCCAGCAACACACUGACUUUCAGUUUCUUUGGCCUUACUGUGCAUCAGGCACACUGACUUGCAGUAACACCAGCUAGCCAGCAAGCAAGGGAACCUCUUUGUUGUCACUCUCCCUUGCUACUGCAAGAGCCCAAAUGAAGUCUUGAUUCAAUUUUCCCAUGUGGCAUCUUAUCAAUUUCCAUUGAUUAAGAAGGUUAACCCCUCCCCAAAUAGUAACAUUCUGUGGUGACACCGCAUUGUCCCCUUCUUGGGAGAGGAUCUGGGCACCUCCUGGACCACAAAAUGCAGCUUCCCCAUGAGUAAAAAGCAGCCACCUGAACCUUUCAUUUCAGUGUCAGCACAUUUGGCAAAUCUGCCUUCCUGGCCCCUGAGGGCCUAGGUACCUUCAUUCAAGCAAUCCCCCCCCUCAACUUUUAUUCUCCUUUGUUGACUAAAAAAAUACAACCUGAAAGUUGAGAAUAUCUGGUGUGAAAUUAGGACUUAAGCCCAGGAGACAGCAUCUCAGGUAGCCCCGAGAAACUGCUCCAAGGAGGCAAGGGAGGAAGCUAGUAUAUAUUAGUUUUUGCAAUAAUGAGGAGGUAGUAGGAAGAAAAGAUUUACAGAUAACUAGAUUUACAGAAAACCAUUUCUAUAGGAAGACAUAAAUGUCUGGGCUUACUGAAAUCACUCCUUUUAUAUACUUUCCCGAGUUCCCUCAGGGCUCAUUAGCCCAACCUUGGGAGUGGCUAUUCUCACAGGUGACCAUGACAUCUUUUGUUUUGCCCACUAACUACAUCCCAGGAGAUAGUAUUUCAGAUAGCCUCAAAGAGGAAAGGGGGACUAUCAAGAUAUAAGUCAUAAAGGUGAAGGGGGAGGUUUAUGCAGCCAAGCACACAAUAUACAGAAGUUUUCUGCCGGUCUUGUGAAGGUUACUAUUAGUCACAGACACUAGUCAUCAUUGUGGGUUUUAGUGUUUUUCUAGAUAUGAGAAGAUGUAAGAUUUCAGCUCAUAUACUCUUCUCCUGAAAAUAUCUAACUAUCUGAAGGCUCUUUCUUCCAGUUUUCCCAGAGCACAGAGUGCCUCACUCCUGGUCUCUACCCUGAGCUCCACUUAGGGGGUGCUGCAGGUGGGCAGCUGCAGUGGCUCAUGUUCUACUCCAUGCAGAGGCUUAUGGCAAGUGCCAAACUUCAAUUCACACUUUCCCACAACAUUUUACCUUUCCCCUUUGUCCCUUUCUCCAGAUAUCUCUCUCUCUUUCCCACUUUCUCCUUCCUCCCUUCCCCCUCCCCUCCCCUUUCUUCUCCUUUCCUCCCCUCUUCUUCCAAGACAGUGGCCAUCCUGCAGAUACAGCAUCAGUCCUUUCAGUUUGUGAGACCUGUUCCCUCUGGCUGGCAAUGGCUCAUCUUAAAUGGUGAUGGGCAGAGGUGGGAGAGGCUUGCCUCACAACAUGCAGAGACAGCUCCAGCAGGCUCUCCCUGACUGGAGAUGUAUGAGAAUGCUAGAGGUUCAAACCUCAUUCCCCGUAGUGGCUGGAAGUCUGAUCUCAUUAUUCUAACCUUUUAUUUUCUUGCCACCAAGAGAAGUCCCCUUGGUAAUGGGCUGAAGUAGCAGAUUUCUAUAUACUGAUGAUGACUGAUCUAUGCAUGGGUGAGAGUCCCACCAGUGGGCUUUGGGGACCCAUAGAUGACAUGGAGCUGGCUGGUUUCUGGGCUAGAUCACCCCAGUGAGCAGUGCACAGGGUGCUCCCCUUAUCACUGGCCCUUUCCGGAAGUGCACAACUUGGUCCUAGAUAGACACUGGCAGGAAGCAAUUUGAAAGGGCAGUCUCUCUCUUUCAGUUUUUCUCUUUUUCAUAUUUUCAUGUCCCUCUUCUCUUUAUCUCUUCCUUUGUCCUCACCCCUAUACUCCUGUCCCCUUAAUCCUUAAAACCUCCUGUUUGUGUCUUUAAGUUUCUGUCCUUGGUAUCUUUGUUUUAUAUAGCUUUGUCUGUACAACUGCUCCUGCAUGUCUGAUAGUGUGGUGGAGCAUUUAAACUUUGAAAUGCAAAUGCAGCCAGCAGUGCCUGAAACUACAGAAUUAGUUUACUUAGUGGGAUCUUAAAAA
This 6663-nucleotide long non-coding RNA is filed under the name Sus scrofa (pig). RNAcentral describes it as "lncRNA (ENSSSCG00060066266.1)". The record is from RNAcentral. Lineage: Eukaryota; Metazoa; Chordata; Mammalia; Artiodactyla; Suidae.